GGGCCCGUAGUCUAGUGGUAUGAUUCCGCCCUCACUAGGCGGAGGUCCCGGGUUCGAAUCCCGGCGGGCCCA
Molecule: transfer RNA, 72 nt
Filed under: Nanoarchaeota archaeon NZ13-N
Lineage: Archaea; Nanobdellati; Nanobdellota
Also listed under: 1 other name
Description: tRNA-Val
Rfam family: tRNA
About the family: Transfer RNA (tRNA) molecules are approximately 80 nucleotides in length. Their secondary structure includes four short double-helical elements and three loops (D, anti-codon, and T loops).
Source: RNAcentral